GACGUAGGGCGCGAGCGUUGUCCGGAUUUAUUGGGCGUAAAGAGCGUGUAGGCGGCUUGGCAAGUCUGCUGUGAAAACUCGAGGCUCAACCUCGAGCUGUCGGCGGAAACUGCUUGGCUAGAGUCCGGAAGAGGAGAGUGGAAUUCCUGGUGUAGCGGUGAAAUGCGCAGAUAUCAGGAAGAACACCUAUGGCGAAGGCAGCUCUCUGGGACGGUACUGACGCUGAGACGCGAAAGCGUGGGGAGCGAACAGG
This 253-nucleotide ribosomal RNA is filed under the name uncultured bacterium. RNAcentral describes it as "partial 16S ribosomal RNA". It matches the Rfam family "Bacterial small subunit ribosomal RNA", at positions 524 to 776 of the family's 1533-position model. The record is from RNAcentral.